UAAACGACUCUCGGCAACGGAUAUCUCGGCUCACGCAUCGAUGAAGAACGUAGCAAAAUGCGAUACUUGGUGUGAAUUGCAGAAUCCCGUGAACCAUCGAGUUUUUGAACGCAAGUUGCGCCCGAAGCCAUCCGGUCGAGGGCACGCCUGCCUGGGCGUCACGC
This 164-nucleotide ribosomal RNA is filed under the name Doniophyton anomalum. RNAcentral's name for it is "5.8S ribosomal RNA". It matches the Rfam family "5.8S ribosomal RNA". Rfam says of the family: 5.8S ribosomal RNA (5.8S rRNA) is a component of the large subunit of the eukaryotic ribosome. It is transcribed by RNA polymerase I as part of the 45S precursor that also contains 18S and 28S rRNA. Functionally, it is thought that 5.8S rRNA may be involved in ribosome translocation. RNAcentral also lists the same sequence under 1 other name. The record is from RNAcentral. Lineage: Eukaryota; Viridiplantae; Streptophyta; Magnoliopsida; Asterales; Asteraceae.